UACGGAGGAUGCGAGCGUUAUCCGGAUUUAUUGGGUUUAGAGGGUGCGUAGGCGGGAUGCCAAGUCAGCGGUAAAAUGCGGUGCUCAACGCCGUCGAGCCGUUGAAACUGGCGUUCUUGAGUGGGCGAGAAGUAUGCGGAAUGCGUGGUGUAGCGGUGAAAUGCAUAGAUAUCACGCAGAACUCCGAUUGCGAAGGCAGCAUACCGGCGCCCUACUGACGCUGAGGCACGAAAGCGUGGGUAUCGAACAGG
RNAcentral lists this ribosomal RNA (251 nucleotides) under uncultured bacterium. RNAcentral describes it as "partial 16S ribosomal RNA". It matches the Rfam family "Bacterial small subunit ribosomal RNA", at positions 524 to 776 of the family's 1533-position model. The record is from RNAcentral.